GUGCAAAACGCAGGCUUCCCCGCUCGCCCGUGAAGAGCGGGAGAAAUCAGGGCUCCAGGACUUCCCCAGCUCAAGCGAGGCUUUCUCCACUGAAAUAAAGCAAUGCCCCUCACCCCAGCACCUCAGCCUUUUGAGUUUUGCAUUAGACCCUCAUUAUACCUCUGGUGCGAGAGAUGACGGAGAAGCGUAAUGCGAAAGCUGAGCUCCCCGUCACGCUCUUCCCUCUUGUUCAUUUGCCAGCUCUGAAGGGGUCGACUGCCAAGUGAAGUACUGGGGAGGUAACAGCCUGAUAUCGGGAGAACCCCUCGAGCUGUCAGCAAGCUGGGAACUACAGUCCUGGUGCCGCCUGCGGUAUUCCGGCGCUGAAAACACUUGUGUAAAGCAGCAUAGUGGGCAUCAAACUCGGGCAGACGUUUUGCUUUGUGACUUGCGUUUGGCUCGGUCUGAUGUGGUUGUUAGCAACUCGCUUGGGGCCAAAGCAGCCAAAAGUGUCUCGGGGAGGGAUGCCGGGGUUCGUUUGCCCGUGCAGCCAAAAGUGUCUCGGGGAGGGAUGCCGGGGUUCGUUUGCCCGUGCAGCUAAGAGAGCAUCCUCCCAAACCGAAGCGCACGUCUUCAUCAUCGUCCCCCCGCCCCGUCGCGCUCCCCUUCUUGCCGCGAUCCUCGCACAGCGUUGCUUUCGCUGAGCGUGGCAAGUGGCAGUUCAUUAAAAAGUGGGAGCAGAUGGGGAAGGGAUUGUAGAAGAAGAUUAAUGAUGCACACCGACAACUAAACAGGCCCCGGUUUUGGAGUAAACACAAUCACGGCGGCUUCCUGGGCGCGGGUAAUCCUCCGCUGUCGGCUCGGCCCCGGUUAGCUGGCCGCCGAGGUGCUGGGCUGCGCUAACGAGAAGGGACGCGGUUGGGGCGCCGCGGCAGCACCGGGGCUGCCGGGAAGGGGGACGUGUCCUCGCCGCGUGGCACUCGCCGGCCCGGCAGCUCCGUGUCCUCGCCAAGGCAGGUUUCUCUCGCCAGCUCUGCUCAGCCUCGCGCCGUGCCUGCUGCCUUGGGCGUCACGCUGAGCUUCGCACGUUAUCGCCCGCAAUAACGAUCCCGGGCUGGGAGCG
Molecule: long non-coding RNA, 1102 nt
Filed under: Dromaius novaehollandiae (emu)
Lineage: Eukaryota; Metazoa; Chordata; Aves; Casuariiformes; Dromaiidae
Description: lncRNA (ENSDNVG00000010563.1)
Source: RNAcentral